Brassica napus (rape) is the source of this 5594-nucleotide long non-coding RNA. RefSeq lists it as uncharacterized. NCBI's taxonomy places the organism in Eukaryota, Viridiplantae, Streptophyta, Magnoliopsida, Brassicales, Brassicaceae. The record is from RefSeq and is a predicted model, not a curated record. The transcript is spliced from 2 exons.
CACACUUGAUGAUAACCAUCGCGAAGGUCUAUCUUCGAAUAAAUCCGGGAACCACCCAACUCGUCCAUCAAAUCAUCAAUUAGAGGAAUAUGAAAUUUAUCUUUCAUAGUUGUGUUGUUAAAUCCCCUAUAAUCCACACAUAACCUCCAUGAACCAUCUUUCUUCUUAACCAGCACCACUAGAGAAGCAUAUGGACCAUAGUUUGCUUGUAUGGUACCCGCUGAGAGAAACUCUUGAACCAUCUUAUCAAUUUCAUUCUUUUGGUGUACUGCAUAGCAAUAAGACCUUUGGUUCACUUGAAUAGCACCUUCUAUCAGUGGUAUCCUAUGAUCAUGAUGACCUCUCAAUGGUGAUAAAGCUAUAGGUUCAUCAAAAAUAUAUUUAUACUCCUCAAUUAGUUUUUCCACUUCCAUCGCUAGUUCUUCAGAUCUUGUCUUAACAACUGCAGAGCACAACUGCACCUCUGUUUGCUCUGUCAACAUCUGUGUAGAAAUCGUUGGCAAUUGUACUGAAUCUUCUUGAUGUUUGUUCAACUUAGCAGCUUUCACCUCCCGUAUAGAUCUUUCUCUGAUCCCAUGUAACAAGACUUUACGGCGAUCCAUUUUGAAUAACAUUGUCAAGUUUUAAAAGUCCCAAGUUAUUGGUCCCCAUUGCUGCAACCACUGAACACCCGAAACCAUAUCACAACCUCCCAAAAGAAUCAGCAUGAAAUCAAUUGUAAAAGUAAUACUGUGAAAGUUCGACUCUAACCCCUCCACAAAUGCUGACACGCCCAACUUAUGACCAUCUGCUACUGUCACUUUUGUUAAACCAGCUGGCUUAAGUGUGCAUUUCAACUUCUCAGGCACACUCUUGUCAAGAAAGUUGUGUGUUGAACCCGUGUCAAUGAGUAUGAAAAGUGAUAUUUUCCCAUGUGUUCAUUUAACUUUCAUCGUCUUGUAAUCAGAAAUGCCAUCAAUAGCAUUAACCGAAAUUUGAGCUACUUCACCUCCAUCUUCCAUUCCCAACUCCUCCUCCUCAUCAUUAAUCUCAUCAUCCUCUUCCACUUCAAUCAUGAACAACUGUGACUUCUUAUGCUUGAGAUAAUGACCAUGAAUAAACUUCUCAUCACAAAAGUAACAGAGUCCUUCAGCUCUUCUUCUACUCAUUUCUUCUUAUGAUAGAAACUUUCGUGGUUGAUUCUCUAACGGUUUGUCUUUGUUAACUAUCAAACCCUCUUUGUAGUCAACCUCCUUCUUAUAUGGUAACACGGCCUUUGUUGCUACUGAUUGUUUAGUCUGCGACCAAACUGGUGGUGUAGCUUUCCUCGGAUGUGCCAUCUCAUAGAGUUUCCCAAGCAUCAAACAUUGGCGUACCGAUUGAGACUGAAACAUCCUUAUAUGCAUCCGAGUGUCCAUUCUCAGGCCUCAAAGAUAAGCACUGACCAAAUACUCCUCUGAAAGCUUAACUCUUGUUUUAAUCAACUCGAAUUUCCCAUGAUAAUCCACAAUACCAUCCGUCUCUUGUAACUUCUUAAGCUCAACAAUUGGAUCGUCAAACAAUUCUUCGAACCUCUCCACCAGUAGCGACUUAUACAAUGGCCAGUUGAACAAUAAAUUUUGAUUCUCUUCUUGUUGAACUACAGACUGAUGCCAUGUUGCAACAACCAUCAAAAUGAAUCGAAGCCAAUCCUGCCUUCAUAUUCUCCGGCGUAUUAUCCAUCAUAAAUAAUUGCUCAACCUUAACUAUCCAUUCCUUCAUCUUUUUGCCAUUGAAUCUAGGAAAAUCAAGUUUCGUGAGGCGAGUCAUGCCUGAAUAGUUAUGUGAAAUACAUGAUCGUCCUCUCCCUAGAUCAGCUUGAUUCGCUUGAAUCGUUGGAGAAGUUGAAUGAAUCUGCGACGUUCGUCUGAUAUUAACGUCAUCACUCGUUAAAGCUUGAUUCUGUUGCAUUGAUAUCAAACGAAUCGCUACGAACAUCUCCGCGAAAAUUUUCUCCAUCUUCGUAUUCUAAUCCAGAAUCAUUGCAUUCUGAUCAGCUACCGUCGUCUCCAACAACUGCGUACGAUCGAGAACUUGAUCGAUCUUCGAUCCCAAGCUUCAUUCCACUUCUCGAAUCAUAGCUUCCUUCAACAACGCCUGCGAUCUAGUCUCCGCCAUCGAUGAUUCCAAUGAAAGAUCGAGCUUUGAUACCUUUAAUACCGUAAAAUAAUAUUCGAUUUGAAACAAGUAACAACAAAUCCAAUGGUCAUAAAACACCGAUUUGACUCACAAUGAUAAACUCCGACUACAAGUACGAAGCUCAAUAAACUGAGAUUUUCUGGAAAAGUUCUAGAGAAAAAUGAGAAGAAGAGAAAAUGCAACAAUAUUUUUCUGAUAUUUUCCUAACAAAAUUUGCUCUGUUUAUAAACAGAGUCAACCUAUUCAGUUACGCAGUUGACCCGAAAGAUCACGUGGAUUGCUGACUCAGCAUCCUCCUUUUAUUCUUCAUUUUAACUAUAUCACAAGGUAACAAAAUCAAAACCUAAAACAACGAGAGGUUUAGUAGCAAAAGACUACAGUCAGUCAAGCGAACAAGCAACGAAGAGGAUUUAACAGAAACAAAACUCACUUGAACUUCUUGUCUAUGAUGAAAAGCCAAGAAGCAAGUCGAAUAGCACCACACACACUGACUGACCCACAGCAACCCCGAAACAUGGAACCAAGAACUGAAACAUCCGGGACAACCCCUCUACACAAUUGCAUCUUCAUCCGAUUGAACCAAAACUUCAACCUCAUCAUAUUGCUUCAAAAUCUAAGAAGAAGCCACUAAGAAAUUAUGAGAUCAGCUAACAACGAGAAAUAAAACGAACUCUUAUGAGCUCUAUUUAAAUCAAAAUUUGAUUUUGUUGAUUUUAAAAAACAUUAUAGCAAAAUCAUAACAAAUCUCAUAAAAAUAUACAUGCCCACUAAGUUUGGAUGAAAAUACUCAUAUAUUAACACUAUACUAUUGAAUAUGAAUGUAAACAUAGCAUCAGGAUGCAAAAUCCCAAUAUAAAAUUUUUAAAUAUUUAAGAUAUUAAAAAAUAAUAGAGUCUAAAUGUAAAAUUUACAUUUCAAAAUCCAAAAGAUUUAAAUACCACUAAAUACAAUAUACAAUAACUAGUUUUAUUAUAUUUAUUAUUUCUUAUUGACCUAAGAAUAUUCCGAAUUUGUAGAAAUAUCGACUCUAACAGAGAGAUGCAGCUCACAGAUGGACUUUUUUUCCGGAUAUUCGAAUGAUGUUCAAAGCAUGGGCAUAUUCAAAUGAUGUUCAAAACAUGGGCAUAUGACCAUACAUGCAGAAUUAUAUCUUUUGAUAACUGAACGAAUCAGCUUUACAAAUAAAUUAAUUUUAGGUUUCUAAUUUUCUGAUAUUCAGAUAUAUCAUAAUUUAUACAUAAUUUUUUUAAAUAGUAUUUGGUUAUUCUACUGAUAUUUAGGGAAAGUUUCUAACAAUAUUGGAAUACCACACUGGAAUUGAUACAACUACAGGCUUCGAAGUUCGUUUCUAGUUAAACAUAAACCUUAUAUUUUGCCUUCGUUAUCCUAUAUAACAUUAAUAAUUAUGUGAAAUUUAAAGUAUAUUAAUAAAUUAUAUAUAGGUCACAUUUUUAGAGUUUUAAAGAGAAAAAGAUAAAAAAAAUAUUAAAAACAUUAUUUGCAAAGUAUAAAAAAUCUUUGUGACUUCAUUUCGUUCCAUAGAAAUUAAAAAUCAAAUAAUUAAGGAAAUGUAUCUUUUCUUACAACAUAUAUGAUAAUAUAAUAUAUUUUCAAUAAAAUUGUUGUUCAUAUUCCAAAUUGGAAGAUUUAUGGUAUUAUAUAUUGGUAAAUAUGUAUAUAUUAAGGAUAUUUGACCAAGAACAACAUCAAUAUAAAUAUACAUUCAUUUAAUGUUGUUGACUGACUUGAUUCAUCAAAUCUAUAAAUGUGCCAAAAUUUAUAAAGAAGUGAAAACAAAAUUUUAAAUAUCUUUCAAGAUUUAGAUUCACCAAAGAAAAAAUGGCUUCCUUAAGUGAUGAAAUUUUCGAUGUUAUUGGUGAACUCAUCCUUAUGAAGGAAGAAUCAAAAGAAGAUGAAGAGCACGUGAGGGGUUUGGAGAAAACUUUAAUUGAAUACCUUGAUGAAAACAAGAUUAUUCUGGACAGCCAACAUUUUGAAGCAAUCCGACAUUUAAAUAUAGAUAGAUUAAUUGAGUCUCAGCUGAAAAUCAUAGAUAAUUGUAUUGAAGAGAACAAUAAGCUUAUUGAAGCGAUGAAGGUUUGCCCAGGGGAGGAUUGCCCGUGUAGCUGCCACAGUCUUACCAAUAAAAAAACCAAUAAUUAAUAUAUGAACAUCAUUACCAUGUAGUAUCAUAUAUGAUCAAAUGUACUUUGCUUAUACAUCUAAAGCUUUGAUGGAAUAAUAAAUGAAAUCCAAAUAUGUUUUUUGUGCAUCUAUAUACAACUGAUAUUCUCAUAAUUAAAUAUAAUUGGCUUACUAAAUUGUUUUAGAGCAAUUGCACUUGAUAUACAAGAUAAAAAGAUUAUUUAGGUGAUUGGCUUCGUACUGUUUCAUUUUCCUUAUAUCCCAAAAGUAACCCUGUUGAUAUCUUGUCUCUGCUAGCGAUUAGUAAAUCUCUCCACAAUUUGUCUGGUUCCAAUUUCUUCCACUCAUGGAACUUCACCUCUGAUCCAUGCGGCUUUGCUGGAGUCUACUGUGACGGCGAUAAAGUAAUUUCUCUCAACCUCGGCGAUCCCAGAGCCGGUUCACCCGGAUAAAAGACCUUCGUUUCUUAGCAAUCAGCCAGAAUUUCAUCUCCGGGGAGAUUCCGGCGAGUCUCGGCGAGGUUCACCGUCUCAGAACGUUUGAUUUGAGCUACAAUCAGCUAGCGGGAACUAUUUCUCCGUCCAUCGGGUCCUUACCGGAGCUCUCCAAUUUGAUUCUCCGCCACAAUCACUUAACCAGAUCAAUCCCUCCGUUUCUCUCGCAAUCGCUAACCCGAAUCGAUCUCAAACGCAACAGCCUCACCGAUUCAAUCUCUCCCUCUGUCGUUGAGAUAUUUAUCACUCGCUUGGAACCAAUUAACCGGACCGGUUGACAGAGUUUUACUCCGGUUAAACCAGCUUAACUACCUCUCUUUCGUCUGACAUCUCUGACACAGCAUGUUUUGUGCGGUGAAUCUUGCAUGAGAGAUAUUGGCUGUGGGGAUUUCACGUCGAGGUGGAGGGACCACCGGAGACGCUCGUUCGAUGGAUGCUCCUGCGUUUUAACGGAGAUCGCCGCUGCGGUUUGCUAUUAUAUACGUUAACUCUUUGCUCUUUGUCUUGGAUGGAUAAAGGGGUUUGGUUUUGUGAUUGAAGAGAAUGAGAAAGUGUUGAGAUAUGUGGAGUGAUGAAUGAUGAUGCGUAUUUAUACGAACGUAAUUAAAUACAUAUAUGGCGACGUUGCUGGAGUUUUUUUUUCCGUUUCAUAGAAUCUAAUCUUAUCACUAUGAUUUCGUUUUAGGGACAGAAUGGUAAGUUCUCAUUCACCGAUUUAUCCUCAUACCUAAUUAAAAAGUUUUAUGUAUAGUUACCUAAAUAACUUUUAUUCUAUGUAUUUCCAACCAAAUAGGCCAU